GGAGAGACAGCUCAGCAGGUAAGAGCACUGACUGCUUUCCAGAGGACCUGGGUUCAAUUCCCAGUACCCUCA
RNAcentral lists this transfer RNA (72 nucleotides) under Rattus norvegicus (Norway rat). It matches the Rfam family "tRNA". From Rfam's summary of the family: Transfer RNA (tRNA) molecules are approximately 80 nucleotides in length. Their secondary structure includes four short double-helical elements and three loops (D, anti-codon, and T loops). The record is from Rfam by way of RNAcentral. Lineage: Eukaryota; Metazoa; Chordata; Mammalia; Rodentia; Muridae.